This 498-nucleotide ribosomal RNA is filed under the name uncultured bacterium. Its description in RNAcentral is "partial 16S ribosomal RNA". It matches the Rfam family "Bacterial small subunit ribosomal RNA", at positions 29 to 523 of the family's 1533-position model. The record is from RNAcentral.
AUUGAACGCUGGCGGCAUGCUUUACACAUGCAAGUCGAACGGUAACAGGCCGCAAGGUGCUGACGAGUGGCGAACGGGUGAGUAAUGCAUCGGAACGUGCCAAGUCGUGGGGGAUAACGCAGCGAAAGCUGCGCUAAUACCGCAUACGAUCUCUGGAUGAAAGCGGGGGACCGAAAGGCCUCGCGCGAUUGGAGCGGCCGAUGUCAGAUUAGGUAGUUGGUGGGGUAAAGGCCCACCAAGCCAACGAUCUGUAGCUGGUCUGAGAGGACGACCAGCCACACUGGGACUGAGACACGGCCAAGACUCCUACGGGAGGCAGCAGUGGGGAAUUUUGGACAAUGGGCGCAAGCCUGAUCCAGCAAUGCCGCGUGCAGGAAGAAGGCCUUCGGGUUGUAAACUGCUUUUGUACGGAACGAAACGGUCCGGGCUAAUACCCUGGGCUAAUGACGGUACCGUAAGAAUAAGCACCGGCUAACUACGUGCCAGCCGCCGCCGUAA